GUACCUUGAAAGUAGUACAUUGAAUGGAGCUGUGCAGUCUUAAACGGGUUUGAAUAGAAGAAAACAAGCAGGUGAGCCCAGCUUCAAGGGCUGACAUUCAUUAAGGAUAUGGAUACUGCUGACCUCCUACCUUUCACAUACCUUCGGACCAAAGGAUCACACGGGCUGCUGGAUUAGGGCUGCCAUGGGCUUGUUUGGACGUGCACUGUUGGAGAGCACGCAGCAGAGGUAACAGAAUUCAGUUAUGUUUUUUAAUUCUGUAAAUUAAGCUUAAAAUGAAAAGAAAAUGACCAGUCAGUAGGCUAGGAUCAAAAUGUAGGUCCAGGCUCUGUACACAAAGGGAAAGUGUGAGACUUGGAAAAUAAACUUUUAUUUUGCAAUCUCUUGUCCCCACCAACUUUUAAUAUGUAACUGUUUCGAUCUGCUUCCAGAUCAGUGUCCCUUUGUAAACACAUGUGAAAUUUGAGUACAAAGAGACGAACAGCAAUGCAUCACUUAGCUGCAUCAAUAUUUUAUGCAGUUGAUCAUGUAAGAAUCAGAAGCAGAUUUAGCCUUCUCUGUGGACUGUAGGGACUAAGGUUCUGUUGACCACAUUUCCACUUCACAAACAGAGCUAUCCAACCAAGACUUGUUUACAAACUGGAAAUGUGCUCAAACACACUGUCCCUGAUAUUUUGUUUGCUCUUCUAGGCUGACAAAUUGCUAACUUUAGAGUUAUUUCUACAAUACUAGAUACAUAUAUAAUUAGGAAAAUAGAAGAAACAAAGUCGUGAUAGGGAAACAUCUCUGAUGAUAUCUGAUCAUUAGAAAUUGCUAUUUGGGGGGAUAAAACACAAGAAAUGUAGUAAUUUCUAUAAUAUUUUCCAAUAUUUACUAAUUUUAAAGUAAGACAUAGGUUUCAUGUUUAUAUGCACUUCACUUUAUUUAUUUCACUAUAAUAAGGGACUUAGAAAUCAAGAUCCAAAUGUCAGUAGCCAGAAUUAUUGAAAAUGGUCUAAGCCAAAAGAGAGGCGAAGCUAGGAUUUGCAAAUUUCUUUUAUUUAUUUCUCCCCAUUCUAUACUUAUAACAACCACUAAAGAGAGUCAUGGGUUAUAUUCUCCUCACUUUAUAAAUAAGGAGCAAAAGCUUUAGAACAAUUGUAUGCAUAGCAAAAACAACACUGCACUACAAGUUCUACCAACUGAACCUCUAUUUAAUUAUAAUGUCUUUGGUAAUCCAGUUAAUUCCUGUAUGCUUCUGUUUUCUCAUCUGUAAACUCUGGAGCAGGAAUUUAUUUUGAAAUCUAUGAGGUGCUGAAAUUUUUAAAAAGUGAUAGUUUCUUGACAGACCCAGGAUCACAUUAUAGUCACUGGUAGAAUGGGAGUAGUACCCAGCCCUCCAGAGUUUGACCAUUAUCCAGAUGAUGAAACAUUUCUGAAAUUAAAAGCUGAGCUGCAAAAAAUAUAUAGUUCUUUGCUUUGAUCUUUCAUUCCAAGUCAUUGGAAACAUGCAAAACUCACAAUCUAACUUGAAGACAAAUAAUUCUAUGAAAAGAGACAAAUUUUGUUCAUUUAGCAAAAAUCACUAAAAGAACUAAUUUAAUAAUUCUUGGAUAAAGUUAAUGUGUACAGGAAGUGGUACCAUAAUAAUUUUUUUAUAAGUAUUGCCCUGAUUAAAACUCACUCAAUAUAUGGACCCAACUAAUAAACAUUUCUAGAGAAAAUCAUAGAACUGAGAUAUACUGAGUUGAAUAGUGUCUCCCCAAAAUUCAUGCCUACCUAGAACCAGUGAAUGUGGCCUUCUUUGGAAAGAGAGUCUCUGUACAGGUAAUCAAGUUAACAUUUACUGAUGAAGUCUUAUU
Orcinus orca (killer whale) is the source of this 1841-nucleotide long non-coding RNA. RefSeq lists it as uncharacterized. NCBI's taxonomy places the organism in Eukaryota, Metazoa, Chordata, Mammalia, Artiodactyla, Delphinidae. The transcript has 3 exons. The record is from RefSeq and is a predicted model, not a curated record.